Molecule: ribosomal RNA, 305 nt
Filed under: uncultured bacterium
Lineage: Bacteria
Description: bacterial SSU rRNA
Rfam family: Bacterial small subunit ribosomal RNA
Source: RNAcentral
CCUACGGGGCGCAGCAGUGAGGAAUAUUGGUCAAUGGGCGGAAGCCUGAACCAGCCAAGUCGCGUGAGGGAAGAAGGCCCUGCGGGUCGCAGACCUCUUUGGACGGGGAGCAAGGCCGCCGACGUGUCGGCGGAAGGAGAGUACCCGUAGAACAAGCAUCGGCUAACUCCGUGCCAGCAGCCGCGGUAAUACGGAGGAUGCGAGCGUUAUCCGGAUUUACUGGGCGUAAAGGGUGCGCAGGCGGUUGAGUAAGACAGAUGUGAAAUCCCCGAGCUUAACUCGGGGAUGGCAUAUGUGACUGCUCG